This 515-nucleotide ribosomal RNA is filed under the name uncultured bacterium. RNAcentral's name for it is "partial 16S ribosomal RNA". It matches the Rfam family "Bacterial small subunit ribosomal RNA", at positions 28 to 523 of the family's 1533-position model. The record is from RNAcentral.
GACGAACGCUGGCGGCGUGCCUAAUACAUGCAAGUCGAGCGAAUGGAUUAAGAGCUUGCUCUUAUGAAGUUAGCGGCGGACGGGUGAGUAACACGUGGGUAACCUGCCCAUAAGACUGGGAUAACUCCGGGAAACCGGGGCUAAUACCGGAUAACAUUUUGAACCGCAUGGUUCGAAAUUGAAAGGCGGCUUCGGCUGUCACUUAUGGAUGGUCCCGCGUCGCAUUAGCUAGUUGGUGAGGUAACGGCUCACCAAGGCAACGAUGCGUAGCCGACCUGAGAGGGUGAUCGGCCACACUGGGACUGAGACACGGCCCAGACUCCUACGGGAGGCAGCAGUAGGGAAUCUUCCGCAAUGGACGAAAGUCUGACGGAGCAACGCCGCGUGAGUGAUGAAGGCUUUCGGGUCGUAAAACUCUGUUGUUAGGGAAGAACAAGUGCUAGUUGAAUAAGCUGGCACCUUGACGGUACCUAACCAGAAAGCCACGGCUAACUACGUGCCAGCCGCCGCCGUAA